CCUACGGGGGGCUGCAGUGGGGAAUAUUGGACAAUGGGGGCAACCCUGAUCCAGCCAUGCCGCGUGUGUGAAGAAGGCCCUCGGGUUGUAAAGCACUUUCAGUGAGGAAGGACGCCUGGUGGUUAAUACCCAUCAGGAAAGACAUCACUCACAGAAGAAGCACCGGCUAACUCCGUGCCAGCAGCCGCGGUAAUACGGAGGGUGCGAGCGUUAAUCGGAAUUACUGGGCGUAAAGCGCGCGUAGGUGGCUUGAUAAGCCGGUUGUGAAAGCCCCGGGCUCAACCUGGGAACGGCAUCCGGAACUGUCAAGCUAGAGUGCAGGAGAGGAAGGUAGAAUUCCCGGUGUAGCGGUGAAAUGCGUAGAGAUCGGGAGGAAUACCAGUGGCGAAGGCGGCCUUCUGGACUGACACUGACACUGAGGUGCGAAAGCGUGGGUAGCAAACAGGAUUAGAUACCCUUGUAGUC
RNAcentral lists this ribosomal RNA (465 nucleotides) under Vreelandella stevensii. Its description in RNAcentral is "partial 16S ribosomal RNA". It matches the Rfam family "Bacterial small subunit ribosomal RNA", at positions 338 to 795 of the family's 1533-position model. Lineage: Bacteria; Pseudomonadati; Pseudomonadota; Gammaproteobacteria; Oceanospirillales; Halomonadaceae. The record is from RNAcentral.